Molecule: non-coding RNA, 45 nt
Filed under: Schistosoma margrebowiei
Lineage: Eukaryota; Metazoa; Platyhelminthes; Trematoda; Strigeidida; Schistosomatidae
Source: RNAcentral
AUCUAGUUGAUGAGUCUUAAGUAGGACAAAACGCGCGUCCUGGAU